This is a long non-coding RNA of Anguilla rostrata (American eel), 589 nucleotides long. RefSeq lists it as uncharacterized. Lineage: Eukaryota; Metazoa; Chordata; Actinopteri; Anguilliformes; Anguillidae. The record is from RefSeq and is a predicted model, not a curated record. The transcript has 2 exons.
GUAAGCCUAUAUGUCUGUAAACUGUAUGUCCAUGUAUAUGUUCAUGUGUUCAAUGGUGUAUGUUCUUUAUAUGUUCUUUUCUGUGUUUUGGCAACAUAAGUUGUAUCUUGUCAUGCCAAUAAAGCAUUUUGAAUUGAAUUGAGAGAGAGAGAGAGAGAAUGUAAGAGAGUAAGAGUAAGAGCUCAUGAUUAUGAUCCGCUAAACUUUCAUUGAAUUUUGUUGUUUUUUAGUUACGUACAAUGAAAAGUAAUAUCUUAAAUUAAAUCUAAACAACUCAGGAACAACUUGAAUACCUUUAACUUUAAAAGGGACCUUACCAUCCAACCAAAAAAAGGAAAAAAUAUUACAAAGACAGAAAACAUGGCUAGCUAGCUAACCAACUGCCACAGAACUGUCAAUUGCCACAACAGGAGAAGUGGGAUAAAAUGCAGAAAACCACAAUUAGAAAAAAGAAAAAGGGACAGGAGGAAAGACAGCAACAAAAUAAACUGGAUAAAGGAAAUAGGAAAUAGGAAGCAAAAUAGUGGGCGGAGCUUGUGUAACCUAGCAAUCACAUACACUGAAGAAGUCAGCAGUGAAACAGGGAAAA